CCCUUGGAGAGUUAUAUCAAACGAAAGUAGGUUGUUAUUUAUAAUUUCCAAAAUCGAAUUCGUAGAACAGGGAA
Molecule: non-coding RNA, 74 nt
Filed under: unclassified sequences
Description: RAGATH-18 RNA
Rfam family: RAGATH-18 RNA
About the family: Actinobacteria, Firmicutes, Fusobacteria, Thermotogae (1 example). Nearby to self-cleaving ribozyme genes
Source: Rfam by way of RNAcentral